GAUGAACGCUGGCGGCGUGCCUAAUACAUGCAAGUCGAGCGAACGGACGAGAAGCUUGCUUCUCUGAUGUUAGCGGCGGACGGGUGAGUAACACGUGGAUAACCUCCCUAUAAGACUGGGAUAACUUCGGGAAACCGGAGCUAAUACCGGAUAAUAUUUUGAACCGCAUGGUUCAAAAGUGAAAGACGGUCUUGCUGUCACUUAUAGAUGGAUCCGCGCUGCAUUAGCUAGUUGGUAAGGUAACGGCUUACCAAGGCAACGAUGCAUAGCCGACCUGAGAGGGUGAUCGGCCACACUGGAACUGAGACACGGUCCAGACUCCUACGGGAGGCAGCAGUAGGGAAUCUUCCGCAAUGGGCGAAAGCCUGACGGAGCAACGCCGCGUGAGUGAUGAAGGUCUUCGGAGCGUAAAACUCUGUUAUUAGGGAAGAACAUAUGUGUAAGUAACUGUGCACAUCUUGACGGUACCUAAUCAGAAAGCCACGGCUAACUACGUG
RNAcentral lists this ribosomal RNA (497 nucleotides) under uncultured bacterium. RNAcentral's name for it is "partial 16S ribosomal RNA". It matches the Rfam family "Bacterial small subunit ribosomal RNA", at positions 28 to 507 of the family's 1533-position model. The record is from RNAcentral.